UGUUCCCACCCCUUAGAAUUUCCCACCGCUGAACCCUCAGUUUACCUCUUCCGUCUCCUACCACUAACCCACGACCAGAUAUCCCCUGAGGAAAAGAAAAACACGACCAGAUCUGUGGAAACCCAGAGCCGCCACCUUUAGAUCCCCCGGAAGUGCCUUCCCGGUGAAUCCUAUACAGCGACCGGCGACACCUCUCCUCCCCUAGCUGGUACAAGGUCCUCGUCUGCUCUAAAAGUUUGUGACGUGCUGCGCAGAGACCCGAUCCAGCCAGGUUCGGUGCAAGGGUUGAUUUCGCCACAAGCCCAUGGCGGAUCAUAGCAGAUCUCCUUAGUCAAGGAUCCAUAGGUAUUUCCUGUAUGAAGUUUGUGGAGCCUUCCAAGUACAACACGCAGAAGUUCACUACAGCUACACUCUAUUCAAGCAGCAAAGUGAUGGCCAAUUCUUUAGCUAACAUUUUCAGGCUUCAAAUAAAAUGCAGCAAAACUUCAAGCUGUACUGCCUAGAAGAGAAGUGGUAAAGCUUUUGAAGAUGCAUCAUGAGGAUGUUGCUGCAUCUGACUGGCUGUGCUUACUUUUUAAAGCUAAUAAGCAAUAAUUAUGAUGAUCGCUAAUUCCCCUGAAUCCCUGAUGCUAACAAGAUACAUAUUUUGGCCAGCAUUGAACAACUACUAACAGUGAUGCAAAUGGUUUGGAAUCCACCUUCAGUUUGUAAGACUAGCUAAAUGAAAUCAUCUUUCUGAACAGAUGUCACUGAUAUUUUGAUUUUUUUGUAGAAAGUUUUGUUUUGCAGAAUUUUGAUGAAUCUUGGUAAAAGAUCACAAGGAAACAAAUCUACUAGGUGCUGUGAACACCCGUCGGUGUUGAAGUCCACGCAGAGCUUAGAUAGAUUCUAGCUUGUUAGAAUUGCUUGUGUACUUAAGUAUUUUCUUUUGUUCAUGAUAACUUUGCCCCUCUUUUGCAUGUACGUACAGUUUAGUUGUAAAGACCAAUUUCCCAAUCUUUCCGUUGUAAAGACAAAUUUCGCUUGAUUAAUACUCCCUCCGGUCCUAAAUAUAAGACAUAUAAUUUCUGGCA
This is a long non-coding RNA of Lolium perenne, 1073 nucleotides long. RefSeq lists it as uncharacterized. The record is from RefSeq and is a predicted model, not a curated record. Lineage: Eukaryota; Viridiplantae; Streptophyta; Magnoliopsida; Poales; Poaceae.